CGCUAAUGCACGCUGGCUGACCUAGAGUACACAAGUUGCAAGGACUCUUCAUGUUGGAUGUCAAACACUUUGAUAAUGGCAUCCUCAACUAGCUAGUUAAAUCCAAAAGGAGACAUGAUUUUGUCACAUACCAGACAGAUUGGAGCUUUUCAGCACUGCAAAUACUUUAGGAUGAUGGACCUUAUAAUCUGGCUAUGGCACCCCUAAUUACCAAUGGAGACAAGAAGCUUUUUGGGACCUUCUUACUAGUUGGAAAUGCUGAAUUGCAAAAUGUAAAAGGAGUGUAUUUGUGUCUCUACCACAACACACACUUUUGAAUAAGAUGUGUGUAUUUAUGAUCAAUGCUUGCCCAUGAUCUACAAUUAAUUUUCAUAUACGAUCUGGAAGGUAAAUUUUCUGGAGUUUGAUGGUCUGGAUGGUACAAGAAUUGUUAUUGUAGAUGCAAUAGGCAGCAGUAGCAUUGACCUGAAGUUGAUGACUCAAAUUAACUUCCGUACUGAAAAAUAUAGGAUUUUCUUUGAUUACUUGUUUUUGUUUGUGUUGGAACUAAAGAUGUUAUUAUCUGAGACUGAUCCCAGGGUGCCAAUUUAAGCUGGAUUUGGGGCUCUAAUGCUCACAACUUGCAUCAGUUGUCUAUCAUAAUCACAGUUUUCUUCUUUGAACAUCCAAAGGAUUUGGGCCUUGCAAGAUGGAACAAUGGUUGUUGAGGGAGGAAAAGCUAAUCAAGCAAGGGCUGAAUUUCCAGAGGAAAUCAACUGCUAGCUUGAUCGGGUUCCAGAAAUAGUUGAAUAAUCUUGUUCCAACGAUAAAAUUAGUAGCUAGGUAAUGAGGAAUAAGAAGAAAGAACACUUGCAGUGGGAUGAUAGUUGCUAUUUUGAACUUUACGGUAAAGCCAAGAGGUGGCUUGAUUACAAUCUGAGGUUCAAUUCAACAAAUCAAGGGCACAGUGUUGAAUUUGUCUUUAUAAAUGUAUAAUUGCUUGCCUUUUUCAGCUCAUACUGCAUAUUCCAGGGCCAGGUUCUGAGACACGUUUUACAUAGUCUUUCUCUGCUGAAUUGCAUAUCCUCCAAUUAUUUCACUUACCAAAAUUUAGGAAAUUAAUUUGACUAGUCUAUCUCAUCAUUCUUUACAACCUCUAGGUCUACAUGCCUUUAUUGUUUGUAAUUGAAGGGACAUCAUUUGAUAAUUUAGACUCCAAAGAUUCAGGAUUUACUGUAGCCAUAUUUUUAUUAAUAACUUAUA
This is a long non-coding RNA of Quercus lobata, 1242 nucleotides long. RefSeq lists it as uncharacterized. The record is from RefSeq and is a predicted model, not a curated record. Lineage: Eukaryota; Viridiplantae; Streptophyta; Magnoliopsida; Fagales; Fagaceae. The transcript has 3 exons.